AGAGUUUGAUCAUGGCUCAGAUUGAACGCUGGCGGUAUGCUUAACACAUGCAAGUCGGACGGUAACAGUCCCUCACCUAGAAAUUUCUUAAAAAGAGAUUUGUAGGUGAGGGAGCUGACGAGUGGCGGACGGGUGCGUAAUGUAUAGGAAUCUGCCUGGUAGUGGGGGACAACUCGGAGAAAUUCGAGCUAAUACCGCAUAAGCCCUACGGGGGAAAACGGGGGAUCUUCGGACCUCGUGCUAUUAGAUGAGCCUAUAUUAGAUUAGCUUGUUGGUGAAGUAAUGGCUUACCAAGGCGACGAUCUAUAGCUGGUCUGAGAGGAUGAUCAGCCACACUGGGACUGAGACACGGCCCAGACUCCUACGGGAGGCAGCAGUGGGGAAUAUUGGACAAUGGGCGAAAGCCUGAUCCAGCAAUACCGCGUGUGAAGAAGGCCUGAGGGUUGUAAAGCACUUUCAAUUGGGAGGAAUACCUAAUAGUUAAUAGCUAUUAGAUUGACA
Molecule: ribosomal RNA, 501 nt
Filed under: uncultured bacterium
Lineage: Bacteria
Description: bacterial SSU rRNA
Rfam family: Bacterial small subunit ribosomal RNA
Source: RNAcentral